This 253-nucleotide ribosomal RNA is filed under the name uncultured bacterium. Its description in RNAcentral is "partial 16S ribosomal RNA". It matches the Rfam family "Bacterial small subunit ribosomal RNA", at positions 524 to 776 of the family's 1533-position model. The record is from RNAcentral.
UACGUAGGGGGCAAGCGUUGUCCGGAAUUAUUGGGCGUAAAGAGCGCGUAGGCGGUCCGAUAAGUCGGCUGUGAAAGUCCAGGGCUCAACCCUGGAAAGCCGGCCGAUACUGUCGGACUAGAGUCCGGAAGAGGCGAGUGGAAUUCCCGGUGUAGCGGUGAAAUGCGCAGAUAUCAGGAAGAACACCCGUGGCGAAGGCGGUUCUCUGGGACGGUACUGACGCUGAGACGCGAAAGCGUGGGGAGCGAACAGG